This 425-nucleotide ribosomal RNA is filed under the name uncultured bacterium. Its description in RNAcentral is "bacterial SSU rRNA". It matches the Rfam family "Bacterial small subunit ribosomal RNA", at positions 355 to 776 of the family's 1533-position model. The record is from RNAcentral.
UAAGGAAUAUUGGUCAAUGGGCGCAAGCCUGAACCAGCCAUGCCGCGUGAAGGACGAAGGCCCUAUGGGUUGUAAACUUCUUUUGUACGGGAAAAAACCACAGGUCGCGAAUCUGUGCUGAUGGUACCGUAAGAAUAAGCAUCGGCUAACUCCGUGCCAGCAGCCGCGGUAAUACGGAGGAUGCAAGCGUUAUCCGGAUUCAUUGGGUUUAAAGGGUGCGCAGGCGGAAUAAUAAGUCAGCGGUGAAAUCCUACAGCUUAACUGUAGAACUGCCAUUGAUACUGUUAUUCUUGAGUGUUGUUGAGGUAGGCGGAAUGUGUCAUGUAGCGGUGAAAUGCUUAGAUAUGACACAGAACACCGAUCGCGAAGGCAGCUUACCAAGCAACAACUGACGCUCAUGCACGAAAGCGUGGGGAUCAAACAGG